Molecule: long non-coding RNA, 752 nt
Organism: Mytilus californianus (California mussel)
Lineage: Eukaryota; Metazoa; Mollusca; Bivalvia; Mytilida; Mytilidae
Exons: 3
Source: RefSeq, a predicted model, not a curated record
UAUAGAAAGCGCCCUUGUAGCAGACCCAAAUCUCCUAUCCUUCGUUGAAGAUUCUUGUAAAAUAUACUCUCCGGAACUUCCCCUUGACCAUGAACAAUGUCCAAUUGAUGGCGGUGACCUUGGAAAAACGCUAGGCAGAUGUGAGAAGGUUUGUCCCGGCAGUUAUGUUAACAUAACAGCUGUAAAUGUGGAAAUGUUUGACGAGGACAUACACAAAAUCAGACUGACCCAGUGUUAUGUUGUACGUCCAUGGGAACAGAAAGUUUUCUACAUGAAAUGCACAAACGAUCAACCUUCUUUUAAAAGCAAAUCAUUCAAGUGUGUUCCAGACAACUUCAUCAAACGUAGGGUUGCCGUAUUCUGUCCAGAAUUUAAAGAACACCAAUGUCAAAAAGUGGACAUCGAAUUACCCACUAACUGUGCUGCAAGUCGAUUUGAAUGUGUCCAACCGAAGAAAUCAAAGAAUGAACUCGUAAACAGCUUUUUUGAUUCAUUGUUUUAGUAGGUUUUUUUUUCAAAAAACUAUCCACACGGUGUGCUGUAGGUCAAAUUUAAUGUUAUCAUCAAAAGCAACAGGAGAAGAAGGAAAAGAUAACAUGCUUCACAUUUUGAACCUCACUGAUUCGGAAAGUUUUUAAAUCCAUGCAGACUGUGAUAUCUUGUUGUUGUUUGUAAUAUUGUUCAUUUCAUCAUCAAUUAUGCCAUGUUUUUGUAAUAGUGACUAAUGUAUAAAUAAAACAAACUUUAGUAUA